Molecule: ribosomal RNA, 253 nt
Filed under: uncultured bacterium
Lineage: Bacteria
Description: partial 16S ribosomal RNA
Rfam family: Bacterial small subunit ribosomal RNA
Source: RNAcentral
UACGGAGGGUGCAAGCAUUAAUCGGAUUUAUUGGGCGUAAAGGGCGCGUAGGCGGGUCACCAAGUUAAGUGUGAAAUUCCGAAGCUCAACUUCGGAGCUGCACUUAAGACUGGUGGUCUUGAGGAUUGGCGGAGAAAAUGGAAUUCCACGUGUAGCGGUGAAAUGCGUAGAUAUGUGGAAGAACACCGGUGGCGAAAGCGAUUUUCUAGCUUAUUCCUGACGCUGAGGCGCGAGAGCAAGGGGAGCAAACAGG